RNAcentral lists this ribosomal RNA (239 nucleotides) under Clostridioides difficile. RNAcentral describes it as "partial 23S ribosomal RNA". It matches the Rfam family "Bacterial large subunit ribosomal RNA", at positions 888 to 1127 of the family's 2925-position model. Lineage: Bacteria; Bacillati; Bacillota; Clostridia; Peptostreptococcales; Peptostreptococcaceae. The record is from RNAcentral.
GAGAGAUACGGAGGUAGAGCACUGAAUGUCCUAGGGGGGAUUGCACCUACCGAAGACUAUCAAACUCCGAAUGCCGUCAUCUUAUACUUGGGAGUCAGACUGUGGGUGAUAAGAUUCAUAGUCGAAAGGGCAACAGCCCAGAUCGUCAGCUAAGGUCCCUAAAUGUAAGUUAAGUGGUAAAGGAUGUGGGAUUGCACAGACAACCAGGAUGUUGGCUUAGAAGCAGCCACUCAUUCAAA